This 199-nucleotide ribosomal RNA is filed under the name uncultured bacterium. Its description in RNAcentral is "partial 16S ribosomal RNA". It matches the Rfam family "Bacterial small subunit ribosomal RNA", at positions 328 to 538 of the family's 1533-position model. The record is from RNAcentral.
ACGCUCGACACCUACGUGAGGCAGCAGUGGGGAAUAUUGCACAAUGGGGGAAACCCUGAUGCAGCGACGCCGCGUGAAGGAAGAAGUAUUUCGGUAUGUAAACUUCUAUCAGCAGGGAAGAAAAUGACGGUACCUGACUAAGAAGCCCCGGCUAACUACGUGCCAGGAGCCGCGGUAAUCUGAGCGGGCGUGGCAAGGC